This 253-nucleotide ribosomal RNA is filed under the name uncultured bacterium. RNAcentral's name for it is "partial 16S ribosomal RNA". It matches the Rfam family "Bacterial small subunit ribosomal RNA", at positions 524 to 776 of the family's 1533-position model. The record is from RNAcentral.
UACGGAGGGUGCAAGCGUUGUCCGGAAUCACUGGGCGUAAAGGGCGCGCAGGCGGCCACGCGCGUCCGUUGUGAAAUCGCUCGGCUCAACUGGGCGAGGUCAGCGGAUACGGCGUGGCUGGAGCAAGCUAGGGGGCAAUGGAAUUCCCGGUGUAGUGGUGGAAUGCGUAGAUAUCGGGAGGAACACCAGUGGCGAAGGCGGUUGCCUGGAGCUUUGCUGACGCUGAGGCGCGAAAGCGUGGGGAGCGAUCCGG